UGAGGAAUAUUGGUCAAUGGACGGAAGUCUGAACCAGCCAAGUAGCGUGCAGGAUGACGGCCCUAUGGGUUGUAAACUGCUUUUGUAUGGGGAUAAAGUCAAUCACGUGUGAUUGUUUGCAGGUACCAUACGAAUAAGGACCGGCUAAUUCCGUGCCAGCAGCCGCGGUAAUACGGAAGGUUCGGGCGUUAUCCGGAUUUAUUGGGUUUAAAGGGAGCGUAGGCCGGAGAUUAAGUGUGUUGUGAAAUGUAGACGCUCAACGUCUGACUUGCAGCGCAUACUGGUUUCCUUGAGUACGCACAACGUUGGCGGAAUUCGUCGUGUAGCGGUGAAAUGCUUAGAUAUGACGAAGAACUCCGAUUGCGAAGGCAGCUGACGGGAGCGCAACCGACGCUGAAGCUCGAAGGUGCGGGUAUCGAACAGGAUUAGAUACCCUGGUAGUCCGCACAGUAAACGAUGGAUGCCCGCUGUUGGUACCUGGUAUCAGCGGCUAAGCGAAAGCAUUAAGCAUCCCACCUGGGGAGUACGCCGGCAACGGUG
This 540-nucleotide ribosomal RNA is filed under the name uncultured bacterium. RNAcentral describes it as "bacterial SSU rRNA". It matches the Rfam family "Bacterial small subunit ribosomal RNA", at positions 355 to 896 of the family's 1533-position model. The record is from RNAcentral.